This 147-nucleotide microRNA precursor is filed under the name Triticum aestivum (bread wheat). Its description in RNAcentral is "miR9658 stem-loop (tae-MIR9658)". The record is from miRBase by way of RNAcentral. Lineage: Eukaryota; Viridiplantae; Streptophyta; Magnoliopsida; Poales; Poaceae.
UCUGGUAACAAUAGAUUGGGAUUCAGGCGCAGUUCUUUUGACCGAUUCUCCCAGAAUUUUGAGAAUCGCACCUCCUAAACCAAUAGGUUUAAGAUUGUGAGAACGGUCUGAUUCUCAUCGUUCUGGGUGAAUAGGCCAAAAAACCAG